This 75-nucleotide transfer RNA is filed under the name Thermanaeromonas toyohensis ToBE. RNAcentral's name for it is "tRNA_Val". It matches the Rfam family "tRNA". From Rfam's summary of the family: Transfer RNA (tRNA) molecules are approximately 80 nucleotides in length. RNAcentral also lists the same sequence under 6 other names. The record is from RNAcentral. Lineage: Bacteria; Bacillati; Bacillota; Clostridia; Neomoorellales; Neomoorellaceae.
GGGCGCGUAGCUCAGUGGGAGAGCGCUUGACUCACAUUCAAGAGGUCGCAGGUUCAAUCCCUGCCGCGCCCACCA